RNAcentral lists this ribosomal RNA (971 nucleotides) under uncultured organism. RNAcentral describes it as "bacterial SSU rRNA". It matches the Rfam family "Bacterial small subunit ribosomal RNA", at positions 422 to 1413 of the family's 1533-position model. The record is from RNAcentral.
AUCGUAAAGCUCUGUCAUAUGGGACGAUAAUGACGGUACCAUAGAAUGAAGCCACGGCUAACUACGUGCCAGCAGCCGCUGUACUACGUAGGUGGCGAGCGUCCGUCCGGAAUGAUCGGGCGUAAAGCGUGCGUAGGCGGAUAUGUACCUCUGAUGUGACAGGCCCGGGCUCAACCUGGGCACUGCAUUCGAAACUGCAUAUCUAGAGUGCAGGAGAGGAAAGUGGAAUUCCUAGUGUAGAGGUGAAAUUCGUAGAGAUUAGGAAGAACACCAGUGGCGAAGGCGACUUUCUGGACUGUAACUGACGCUGAGGUACGAAAGCGUGGGGAGCGAACAGGAUUAGAUACCCUGGUAGUCCACGCCGUAAACGAUGGAUACUAGGUGUCGGGGGCGACCAGCUUUCGGUGCCGCAGCAAACGCAUUAAGUAUCCCGCCUGGGGAGUACGGUCGCAAGAUUAAAACUCAAAGGAAUUGACGGGGACCCGCACAAGCAGCGGAGCAUGUGGUUUAAUUCGAAGCAACGCGAAGAACGUUACCUAGGCUUGACAUCCUGUGAAUCCUGUAGAGAUACGGGAGUGCCUUCGGGAACACAGUGACAGGUGGUGCAUGGUUGUCGUCAGCUCGUGUCGUGAGAUGUUGGGUUAAGUCCCGCAACGAGCGCAACCCGUAUUGUUAGUUGCUACCAUUAAGUUGAGCACUCUAGCAAGACUGCCUGGGUUAACCAGGAGGAAGGUGGGGAUGACGUCAAAUCAUCAUGCCCCUUAUGUCUAGGGCUACACACGUGUUACAAUGGUCGGUACAGAGAUCAGCAAGACCGCGAGGUGGAGCAAAUCUCAGAAGCCGAUCCCAGUUCGGAUUGCAGGCUGCAACUCGCCUGCAUGAAGUUGGAGUUGCUAGUAAUCGCGAAUCAGAAUCUCACGUGAAUGCGUUCCCGGGUCUUGUACACACCGCCCGUCACACCAUGAGAGCUG